Molecule: long non-coding RNA, 1638 nt
Organism: Octopus bimaculoides (California two-spot octopus)
Lineage: Eukaryota; Metazoa; Mollusca; Cephalopoda; Octopoda; Octopodidae
Source: RefSeq, a predicted model, not a curated record
AUACACAUACAUGAUACACCACAUAUGUAACAGAUCUGAAGGAAGGACACGCCGUUGUAGAAACCAUCCCAAAGUGGACAGAGCACAUGGCAGCACUCAGGCUUGUCGAAUCCUCUCAAACAAUUGAACCCAUGUCAGCACGGAGGAUGGACAUUAAAAGGUGAAGAUAAUUGUUGUAGGAGCUUUGUCCUUCCAUCUGGCACUACAUGGAGUCAUUUGACUGCGGCCAUGCUGGAGUGCCGCCUUAAAGGGUUUUUGGUCAAAGAAAUGAACCCCAGGACUUAUUCUGUUUGUCCCUUUUGCUGAACUGUUAAGUUACGGGACAAGAACACACCAACAUCAGUUGUCAAGUGACGGCAGGGAGACAACCAAAGACUCACACACACACACACAUAUAUAUAUAUAUAUACACACACACACAUACAUAUAUUUAUGCGACAUGCAGCUUUUAGUUUCCGUCUACCAAAUCCACACACAAGGCUUUGGUUGGCCAGAGGCUACAACAGAAGACACAUGCCCAAGGUACCACACUGUGGGACUGAACCUAGAACCAUCUGGUUGAGAAAUAAGCUUCUUACCACACAGCCAUGCCCCAGCUAAAAUUAUUUUACUGAAUUUUUAGUUUAAAAAAAAAAAAAUCAGUUGAAACAAUGUGUACAUAUUUCAACAGAAAUUGGUAAUGUGAGGGUGAGACUAGCAUUUUGAAUCAUAAAUUAACAUGAAAUUUUGAUAAAAGGUUGUUAUUUAGAUCACUUUAAAAAGGAAGUUUGUAUGGUUGACCCAAGGGGUGACCCCGGUUGGUUUUAUAUCAGAAGUGUUAACACCUGUCAUUUAUCUUCCCUUCCUUAUUACAUGAUCUUAUCAGCAGUCAUCCCUCUAAAUACAUCAAUUGAUAACUUUUACUAAAUAAUCUUCCUCAAUUCCCAUACCACCAUUUAAAACCCGCCUUUUAGUGCGAUAUUUCUGUCCAAAUACACUGUCUUGGUUUUGAUUAAUUCUGAAUAUAAUGAAGAACUUAGUGAAAUGACUUUGUCACUAUUAAGUGGUUUUUAGGACAUAAAUUAACUUGAAAUUUUAAUUAAAAGUUUUAAUUUAUGUAACUUUAACCAUCUCCUUACCAUAUUUUUGUUGAAAUACUUUACCUUUGAAUCAGUUAGUUUUGAAAAUAAUGAAAAUUGAUGAAAACAAUUUUGUCAUUGUGAAGCUUGUAAGGUAAAUUAACAUGAAAUUUUUAUGCAAGGUUAUAAUUUAAAUUAUUUUAACCUCCUAGCAUUUAAACUGGUCAUAUCUGACCUAAAUAUUCUACUUGUUUUAUGUUCAAAGUGGCCAGAUCUGACAUCUCGUAUUAACCCUACAAUGUCAUUCUAAAAAUCCACAAUCACCUCAUCUAAAUCCCAAGGCUAUGAGAUAAUGCAGGAUUAAUUCAAAACAAUCUGAAUAAACAACCAUUACGUUUGACAGAGUAAUCUAAAUAUUAAUGGGUUAAAACGAAAAGUUAGUAUCCUACAAUCAGGGGCCAUAUCAGACAGUUUGGUGUCAAAGGGUUUAAGCUCCCUAUAUCCCAUCCCAUCCAUUACUUUUCAUUCCCAUUUAAAAUUUUUCUUUUUCUUAAAACAAGGUGAUUUUAAGCAGAUAAGG